GUUUGCACUUGUCGGGGAAGGGUGAGAACCUUCGAUUAAGGUUCGACUCGAGCGAAAGCGAGAGAACGUUGCCAACGGCAACGGCCCGUAGGUUGAGGAGCGAA
RNAcentral lists this small RNA (104 nucleotides) under Salmonella enterica. RNAcentral describes it as "partial RtT sRNA". It matches the Rfam family "RtT RNA", at positions 1 to 102 of the family's 130-position model. From Rfam's summary of the family: This family represents a bacterial cis-regulatory element known as RtT RNA. The exact function of RtT is unknown although it is thought that it may be involved in changing the cellular response in relation to amino acid starvation. The record is from RNAcentral. Lineage: Bacteria; Pseudomonadati; Pseudomonadota; Gammaproteobacteria; Enterobacterales; Enterobacteriaceae.